RNAcentral lists this ribosomal RNA (682 nucleotides) under Salmonella enterica. RNAcentral describes it as "partial 23S ribosomal RNA". It matches the Rfam family "Bacterial large subunit ribosomal RNA", at positions 2261 to 2925 of the family's 2925-position model. The record is from RNAcentral. RNAcentral also lists the same sequence under 2 other names. Lineage: Bacteria; Pseudomonadati; Pseudomonadota; Gammaproteobacteria; Enterobacterales; Enterobacteriaceae.
GUGGGUAGUUUGACUGGGGCGGUCUCCUCCUAAAGAGUAACGGAGGAGCACGAAGGUUGGCUAAUCCUGGUCGGACAUCAGGAGGUUAGUGCAAUGGCAUAAGCCAGCUUGACUGCGAGCGUGACGGCGCGAGCAGGUGCGAAAGCAGGUCAUAGUGAUCCGGUGGUUCUGAAUGGAAGGGCCAUCGCUCAACGGAUAAAAGGUACUCCGGGGAUAACAGGCUGAUACCGCCCAAGAGUUCAUAUCGACGGCGGUGUUUGGCACCUCGAUGUCGGCUCAUCACAUCCUGGGGCUGAAGUAGGUCCCAAGGGUAUGGCUGUUCGCCAUUUAAAGUGGUACGCGAGCUGGGUUUAGAACGUCGUGAGACAGUUCGGUCCCUAUCUGCCGUGGGCGCUGGAAGAUUGAGGGGGGCUGCUCCUAGUACGAGAGGACCGGAGUGGACGCAUCACUGGUGUUCGGGUUGUCAUGCCAAUGGCACUGCCCGGUAGCUACAUGCGGAAGAGAUAAGUGCUGAAAGCAUCUAAGCACGAAACUUGCCCCGAGAUGAAUCUUCCCUGAGCCUUUAAGGCUCCUGAAGGAACGUUGAAGACGACGACGUUGAUAGGCCGGGUGUGUAAGCGCAGCGAUGCGUUGAGCUAACCGGUACUAAUGAACCGUGAGGCUUAACCUUACAACGCCGAAG